This 253-nucleotide ribosomal RNA is filed under the name uncultured bacterium. RNAcentral's name for it is "partial 16S ribosomal RNA". It matches the Rfam family "Bacterial small subunit ribosomal RNA", at positions 524 to 776 of the family's 1533-position model. The record is from RNAcentral.
UACGUAGGGUGCAAGCGUUGUCCGGAAUUAUUGGGCGUAAAGAGCUCGUAGGCGGUUUGUCGCGUCUGCUGUGAAAACUCGAGGCUUAACCCCGGGCCUGCAGUGGGUACGGGCAGACUAGAGUGCGGUAGGGGAGACUGGAAUUCCUGGUGUAGCGGUGAAAUGCGCAGAUAUCGGGAGGAACACCGGUGGCGAAGGCGGUUCUCUGGGCCUUACCUGACGCUGAGGAGCGAAAGCGUGGGGAGCGAACAGG